Molecule: long non-coding RNA, 2021 nt
Filed under: Lynx pardinus (Iberian lynx)
Lineage: Eukaryota; Metazoa; Chordata; Mammalia; Carnivora; Felidae
Source: RNAcentral
GGCCUUGCACAUGCUCCCAAAGUGGGAUGACUGAAACGCACAGCCCUGGUUGCCAACAGAGCCCCCAACCCUGAAUCGAUAGUGGCCACAGCCCAGAAACUACGAUCCUGGUUUAUUAUUAGCCGUCGGGGAAGAGGGACCAGCAGCAGCGGCGGCGGCAACUCCAUCUCCGGGCUCUUACGUAAGAAGGGUGGCUGGGCAUGCCUGGUGCACGUGGACGCGUGGUGUUCCCGCGGUGGCUCUGGCCUUGGCCAACUGCUGGGGGAGGGGAGCCUCGGAGGCUUUUGCCUCCCUCCAAGCCGGGUCUUUCCCAAUCUUUUCUGUAACAGCUGCUGCCAGGGAUGAAGAGCAACUCACCAUCCCAUUUGCACAUUUUCCCAAGAGAUCAGAUGUGGCAAUGGGCAGCAGUGGCCAAAUACCUACUUUUUUCCAAGUCCCUCUACUCGGAGAUGGUGGAGAGCCCUGGCCACGUGGCUUUUUGGCUGCCAAAGGGCUAGGAGAGGGUGACAGUAGUUAGGCCCGGUGUUGGGUGUCUUUCAUCAUUUAACAGAAAAGCAGGCAGGUAUCCAAUAAUAUUUUUUGGUGGUGGAGGGGGUGGGGAGUUUGAAAUGUUCCUUUCCUAAGAUAGUUCUUAAAACACAGGGUCAUUUAAUAGGGCCUAAGCCAUAUACUAAAUCUUUGGAUUUAACUUUUAAGAGCAUUGCACCUUAAAUUACACUUUGGGACUCCAAACCACAACCCGUUUUCAUUUAGUUUUUUUUUACCAUCUCGCUUCCCUUGCCAUGUCCUUCACUGGCUGAUCUCCAACAGUCCUACAGAUAAUUCAGCAAGAUCAAGUUUCUAAUUUUAAAUUGCUUUUCUCUAAAAUCUUUUAGGGGUGCUUUUACUAGAGUGUUUUCUCACAGGACAAGAAGUGCCAAAACAAGGGGGAGACACCUAAUAAAGGAGUUUAUUUCUUCCACUCUUUCUUUCACUUUGGAGAUGUAUAUCUAAAUGUUUUCCACAGCAAACAAUCAGACUUGGUGCUACCAGGACUGACCUGUGGGCAACAGGACCCAAGUCAGUGACCUCUGGAGACAGAGCCUAGCCUGCUGACCUCCACUUUCAGGGCUUAUUAGCUCUGCCAGAUCAUAGCCCAUGUUUUUCUAUCGAUAAAACUGAGGUAAUGUCACCUGCUCACCUAGCAGUCUUUGGGAGGUCAGUGGAAAGAAAAAUGUAGGGCAAAAAAUAAUUAUAUAAAUUUGAAGCGUUGGGAAAAUCUCAUCCUCCCACUUGCACCAUGGAGACUUAGAAACUUUUCCAGGGUCAGUUUCCUUAUCAACAAAAUGGAGCUUCUCCCAUGAGCUAUAGGCUUUUGGUUAAGGUUAAAUAAGACAGUGGAUGUAAAAAUUAUGUGAAUUUUAAACUACUUUCCAAAGAUUAAUUGUACUUACUGAAGGACCUCAUCAUAGCUAAGAAGUGUUUAUGUGAAGAGUCAGAAACUUUAAAAAUGUGGAAAUGGUUUAUGAUGAGCCACAGACCCUUUCCCCUAGUGCUUAGGCAGCAGGAGAGAACAAAACAGUUCAGGUUGGUUUUAAACCUUGACAACCAGUGAGCUACAAAGAGCAUUGCAAGAGGAAAAAUCGAGAAAAACACAUAUCCGGUUUGCAGUAGCUGAUCCUCUCAUUAAUUAAAACAUAUUUGUCCCCCCCCAUUACAGACCCUCUUGAUAUUUUAAGUACAUAUGCCUCUGGAAGAAAACUUCAGAUUGAGUUUAUUAAAUGCUGGAAUCCUGCCUCUUUUUGUCUUCGUCCCAGUUCCAACAAGGUGUGAUAAUAACUAACAGAAAACGGAAAUCCAAGUGAUCUAGCAAAGAGAUCGCAGCAAACAAGCCCGGGUUGAAAGAAGGCCCCUAAAGCCGCCCUUUUGGCCUCCACCCAUCCCCCGAUCCGUUUCCUUCCUUCCUCUAGUCUCGAGGUCACUCUUAAUCCUCCAGUUUUUUACUCCAGUCCCCGUUCUUUUACAUUUCUUAAAUACUGUAA